RNAcentral lists this unclassified non-coding RNA (400 nucleotides) under fungal sp. Its description in RNAcentral is "partial internal transcribed spacer region". The stretch from base 1 to 46 matches the Rfam family "Eukaryotic small subunit ribosomal RNA", at positions 1786 to 1831 of the family's 1831-position model. Lineage: Eukaryota; Fungi. The record is from RNAcentral.
AAGUCGUAACAAGGUUUCCGUAGGUGAACCUGCGGAAGGAUCAUUAACACGUUAUCCACGUAUCCACCAACGAGAACACGUUUUCACGCUCUCUUCGGGAGAAUGAAUUGGAGCUUGCUUAGAGUUAUUGAAUUGGGAUGCUUGCGUCAGACUCUACUCGCUACUUGAGGGAAAUGCGCGUUCUGCGCGCGCCCUCUAACAAUUGGAUCUCUUGGAAGAUUAAUCUCACUGAUCAGAUUCCAUUCAAUUACAUAGUUCAGUGGGAAAACUAUUUACCCCUUUCACCCCCCUUUUUGCUAGUUGACUUUUAUAUGUUGUAUGUUUGUUUCGGCAAAUGUGCACACGUUUAAUUAUUUGAACGUUAAAAAUACAACUCUUAGCAAUGGAUAUCUAGGUUCUC